AUGUAUAAUGCGGAGGCUGGAAGGAAAGGGAAAAAACAACCAACAUGGGUAGCUGUCAAGGCUCCUCAACAACCGGAUGUGGAGCAAUGUGGUUUCUAUAUCAUGCUAUAUAUGAAAGAUUUAAUUGAAAAUUUUGGAGUUGACCACAAGGAUUCACUUCCAGCAAUGUUUACAAAUCUCAAGUACUCCAGAGUUGAAAUUGAUGAAGUGCGGUUUGAGUGGGC
This is a long non-coding RNA of Zingiber officinale, 224 nucleotides long. RefSeq lists it as uncharacterized. The transcript is spliced from 3 exons. NCBI's taxonomy places the organism in Eukaryota, Viridiplantae, Streptophyta, Magnoliopsida, Zingiberales, Zingiberaceae. The record is from RefSeq and is a predicted model, not a curated record.